Molecule: long non-coding RNA, 3118 nt
Organism: Folsomia candida
Lineage: Eukaryota; Metazoa; Arthropoda; Collembola; Entomobryomorpha; Isotomidae
Exons: 5
Source: RefSeq, a predicted model, not a curated record
AAUUUUACGUAUAUAAGUAUGUAUACAUACUUAUAUAUAUACUUACAUGUAAGGCCAGUAUACUGGCCUUACGAGAUCUUGUAACAGUAUUUGCUAAGAACCACAAAUGUUGCACCAGAGACACCUUACAUUUUGGGAAAAGUCUGUAAGAUUUUGGGUACAAUAAUGCAUGAAAUAUCUUUACAAAUUUGGGUUCACGUAUCAAAUUUUCAUAGCAGUUGCAUUUUUCAAAGUAGUAAAUGUGAAAUAUGUGCAUAGGUAUAUUCCAGACCAUUUUAUCAAGACGAUUCACUCAUGUUUUUGUAAACUGUGCAAGUUUUGAAAAAUACUUUGAUGAAUUUGUAAAAUCAUCAUUACUAAAUAGAUAACUUGGAUCAUAUCUAAUUAACAAGUUUCGAGUUUUCAUGUUUCAUACAAUUUUUAUCUGGCGUUAAAAUUGCCCAAUUUAAUUUUUGUAAUAAUAUUAUGCAAAUCUUUUAAAACAAUUUUAAAAUCUUUCGUAAAAAAUUUGUAUGAAUAUUUCAUGUCCUUUACGUCCUUUGCAGAUUUUUUCCGGGAGAUAUUUUCCGAGGUGAUUGUUUCCGGUUACGCCUUUGCGUAUAUAUCAAAAUGAUAUGAAUUUUUGUACAAACGUAUAUAACGUGACUAAUCUAAAACAGACAUAAGUUAUGUCUCUAUUUUUUGCUCGAAGUAUUUAGUCCAACACUGAAAUUUAUUGCUUAAUGUGCUAAAAAUAUAUUAUUUCAAUGUAUUAUUGACAUUUUCCUGUUUUUUUCAGGAAUUCAAGUUUUUCCGGAAGGUCGUCAUCGCCAUUUUCUGUCUGCUUGCAAUCGCCUUUGGAGCUCACGGGACACUCAUACAAUUGGGACUCCCAUAUAUUUAUAAAUAUGGACCUUCAUGUGGUAUACCGCUCUAUGCUAACUGGGCCAGACGGUACUGGCAAAUUGAUACUGAUGAUGAGGAUGAAAAAUUAUUGGAUUGUGAAAGAAAUACAACAUGCCAGUGUGCCGUAUCCAUAGGGGAUUUAGAAUUUUACGGGCUACAGUUUUUCCUGAGCAUGUCGUACAACUUGACCCAGGCAUUCGCCACCACGCUCAUAGUGAUUGGGGCAUUAACUCUGAUUGACGCCACGUAUGAAUUCACAUCCAAACUGAGAAAAUUGUUGGCGCAAGAGUUCUACAAUGUCUUCCAAGGGAACGAAGUCAUCAACAAUGUUAUCAGCCCGCUCGUUUUCUUCUUUUGGAUUCUGUCCAUGUCAUCUCCCGGGAGCUUGGUGGUCGAGGCACGAAAAGAUGGUACGAAAAAGCUGGCUACUGCUACCAGAUCUUGAUGAAUGUCAUCUUUUUCGGGGUAUCAGCCCAAAUCUGUGAAAAGAUGGGGGAAUUUAAGGACUUCUUAAACAAUGAGAGCGUGGUUGCGGGCCAUUCUCGAAAGGUGCGUAUGGACCUUAUCCAAGAGUUGAAUGAGCAACCAGUUGGCGUCCGAGGAUUGAGGAAGUUUGUCAUUGAUAAUGGGUUUCUCUCAACGAUGUUGGGGAUCCUUAUCACCCUAUCCGUAAUCGUGUUGGAUUCAUAUCUCUAUACGUAUGAAUAACUUAAACGUGCAAUGGUAUACGUAUAUGUAGUCAAGACUAGAAUUGUUCACAGUUUACAUAUGUCAACAUUUAAAAAUACUUAACAAAUAAUUAACUAAACAUUGUGUAACGUUAAUAAUGCAGGCAAGUUAAUUCUCGGGAGCAAAAUUUUCGUCUUCAAUAUUUUACAGUUAAAACGCUGACGUGAAGAAUAUUGGUAAUGCUAAAUCAACCACACACUUUCACAAGCCCAUAUUCACAAAAACUUGGCCAGUAUAAAGCAUGGAUAGAUAGCACCACUUUCUUUUCCAGUAAUUCAAUCCGAUUUUUUUACACAAUUUGACAAAAGCUAAUGCAAAUUCAUUUGUUCAUCGUACUGGAAAUGUUCGUCGCGAUUUGUUUUUCAUACUACUUCGAUAGAACUGCCCAAUUCUUCAAAACUGACAAAUUUCGAAUUACUAAAUAAAAUAAAAUUUCAAAAAUCCGGAAACUCUGAUUUAUAUGUGUUCAUGGUCUUCGUAUGCACCUGAUUAAAUUCAGUUCAUUGGAAGAUUCCAAUAUCAAUGCGUCCAAUUUUUUGGAAUCAAUUUUUAAUGCAUAGGUACUCUCUAAAAACAACAUUUCCUUGGGAUCCUAACUGGUCAGAGGAUAUGACUCUACCACCAUCAUAGUAACAAGCAUUACGGUUUUAUAAUGUAGUGGUAAAAACAAAUUUACUAAUCGGUAGGAAAUCGUAUUUAUAGUUUUUAAGAAUUCUAACCAUCAAUUACAUAAUUGUUUCUUUGGCAGUUAUAGUCUUUCUGCUCAUACGCAAUCAAAUUCUUACACUUUGACUUUACAAUGAAUAUCCUUUCGCUUCAAGGGCAAAAUUUAACGAUUUAGCAAUUUCAUUCUUAAAAAACAAACUCUUGUAUUACACAUUAUGUCGUAAAGUCGACUUCAUAGUGAUUCAUUUCUUAACUGGUUUUAAGUACAUUCAUAAAUGAAUUAUUGUACGAAGAGGAUCCCCCGACCUAACUCUAAAUCCUUGCGUGAAAUAAGAAAUUGCAAAGAAACAAAUUCAAAAUUAUUGCACCGAUUAUUACUUCUCGAUAUGCAAAAGAAAUGGAAACUCGCCAUAAUAAUUAUCUCGGCUCUUGUUUCACUCUCAACGUGUGACAAAAUCCAGCCCUGCAAAAGUCCUGAAGAAUGCAAUAAUCCUCCCGCAGGGUUCCAUGGUGUGACGUCUUGUGCCGUUAGUUCAUUUGAAGAAUGGAAGUCGAACAAUGGGUUUUGCUACUAUGGGCCUAAAUUGACUAAGCAUUUUCUUCAAUUGGGAAAAGGUACCUGCUUUGCACAGUUAAAGGCUUGCCUUGGAACGAAUAAGUGUUGUCCUGGUUUAAACUGCGAAGGCCCCGACGAUAAACCGGUUUGCUUGGGAGAUUAUGAUGAAAAUUAUAUAAAAAAAUUACAAUUUCCUAAAAAGCCUGUGUAAAGUUUCUUACUCAGUUAAUAUGUAAAUGAUAAUAAAGUGAUGAAAUGAAUUUAUCUAUGUAUAGAAAUUUA